GCAGUCGUGGUUCAGUGGUAGAAUUCUUGCCUUCCAUGUAGGAGAUGGGUUCAAUUCCCAGCCAGAGCA
This 69-nucleotide transfer RNA is filed under the name Loxodonta africana (African savanna elephant). It matches the Rfam family "tRNA". Rfam says of the family: Transfer RNA (tRNA) molecules are approximately 80 nucleotides in length. Lineage: Eukaryota; Metazoa; Chordata; Mammalia; Proboscidea; Elephantidae. The record is from Rfam by way of RNAcentral.